Molecule: ribosomal RNA, 119 nt
Filed under: Gossypium raimondii (Peruvian cotton)
Lineage: Eukaryota; Viridiplantae; Streptophyta; Magnoliopsida; Malvales; Malvaceae
Source: RNAcentral
GGGUGUGACCAUACCAGCACUAAUGCACCGGAUCCAAUCAGAACUCCGCAGUUAAGCGUGCUUGGGCGGGGGUAGUCCUAGGAUGGGGGACCUCCUGGGAAACCCUCCGGUUCCCCCCC